UGAAGGCAUACUUUCAGGAGUGAGGGUAGAGCGGGGUUUCCCCCGCCCUGGUAGUCUUAGUAAGCCGGGAAGCUUAUGACUAAGAGCACCACGAUGAUGAUCCACUUCAUCAUGACCCUUUCCUUAUU
This 128-nucleotide small RNA is filed under the name Escherichia coli. Its description in RNAcentral is "QUAD RNA". It matches the Rfam family "Short Intergenic Abundant RNA", at positions 16 to 147 of the family's 147-position model. From Rfam's summary of the family: This family contains multiple ncRNA from E. coli that were identified in a large scale screen of E. coli, were they were called candidates 43,55 and 61. These RNAs have also been identified by other groups and called QUAD RNAs. Lineage: Bacteria; Pseudomonadati; Pseudomonadota; Gammaproteobacteria; Enterobacterales; Enterobacteriaceae. The record is from RNAcentral.